AGCUUUAUCAAUUUAUAUAUACUUAUCACAAUGCAAGAAUUCCUCUGGCCGCUCCUACCAUCAUGACCUCUGGCCAUAAUAUGAUUUAUCUCCACGCUGGCAGAAACUAACCAAGCCCCAUUCGACCUAACAGAAAGGGAAGCAGUUAGUCUUGGGCUUUAACGCUGAAUAUGCUGCAGGCCCAUUUGCCCUUCAAUACUCAAAAUAUAUUCUAAAUAAGUGAG
RNAcentral lists this long non-coding RNA (224 nucleotides) under Homo sapiens (human). RNAcentral's name for it is "non-protein coding lnc-NUTM1-17:1". Lineage: Eukaryota; Metazoa; Chordata; Mammalia; Primates; Hominidae. The record is from RNAcentral.